This 254-nucleotide unclassified non-coding RNA is filed under the name fungal sp. RNAcentral's name for it is "partial contains 5.8S ribosomal RNA, internal transcribed spacer 2, and large subunit ribosomal RNA". The record is from RNAcentral. Lineage: Eukaryota; Fungi.
CGCACAUUGCGCCCUUUGGUAUUCCGGGGGGCAUGCCUGUUCGAGCGUCAUUUGCACCCUCAAGUAUGACUUGGUAUUGGGCACCCGUCUUCCCCCCGGGGGAGGCCACCCGAAUGGCAAUGGCGGUUCCCCCGGGAGCUCAGCGUAGUAAUUUUUCGUCGCCGAGUCCUCCCCCGGGAUCCAGCCGGGCGAUCGCCCGAACCCAUCUUUCAAUGAUUGACCUCGGAUCAGGUAGGGAUACCCGCUGAACUUAA